RNAcentral lists this long non-coding RNA (1592 nucleotides) under Nicotiana tabacum (common tobacco). Its description in RNAcentral is "long non-coding RNA (NTAB_LNC013251)". The record is from RNAcentral. Lineage: Eukaryota; Viridiplantae; Streptophyta; Magnoliopsida; Solanales; Solanaceae.
UCUCAAUUCAAUAUUUAAAAUAGUUAAACAUCUAUAAACAGUCUAAGCAUGAGUAAAUAAGCCAAAGACUAAGCAAAAGAUUUUAUAAUGUGCGGAAUAUAGCCCAAACACAGCCCAAUAUCGGGGUGUCACAAGUCACGAGCAUCUACUAAGGUCUAAAAUACAACUAAGUUCUGAAAUAGGCUAAAUACAUUCCAAGGACAUCAAGAGGGAGAAAAGCAGUGUUGUGAACGCCGGCAACUACCUUGCUAAACUCCAAUGACUCUGCCUCCGAUAAGCCAAUACCCGCUAUCGGGUUCAGAAAUACUUGAAUCUGCACACAAGGUGCAGGGAGUAAAGUGAGUACUCCAACUCAGUGAGCAACAAUCAUAACUAAAGUCUGAAUGGUAAGAAAUCACGAAAAGUGCAUCAACAUGCUGUAUAGAAGCAGUUCAAAAACUAGUAAGAAAGCAAUGAAGCUGUAAAAUCUCUUUAAAAUAUCUUAGCUCAGUUUAAACUUCUUUGAAAAUGACUUUUUCAACAGUUGCGCAAAUGAAUGCAAAAUAAUUAGUGCAGAUAAGCACAGAAAUCCGCCCCUCGGGCACAAAUACACAAUUAAACGGGUACAUGAUAGGCAAAUAAGAAAGAUAAGCACAUAAGAUUCGCCCCUCGGGCACAAUGUCAACAAAUCCGCCCCUCGGGCAAUAUCUCAGAACAAUACCAGCCCCUUGGGCAAUCACAUUGAACAAAACCAGCCCCUCGAGCUAUAUCUCACAUCACAAUGGGUAGCCGCGCUCACUGGGGGUGUGCAGACUCCUGGAGGGGCCCCUCAUGGCAAUAUCAAGCCAUCUCGUGGCAUCAUCUCUAGGCUCUCGGCCUCAUAUUAACAAGCCACCUCGUGGCGUACAUAUCUCAGGCUUUCAGUCUCAUAAUUAAAGUCUGUGUAUCACCGUUGCGGCAUGCAGCCCGACCCAAAAGAUAUCCUUACAACACAGGCCCUCGGCCUUACUCAUUCAAAAAUCACAUAAGCCACUCGGGCAACAGUAAAACAUGAUGCUCAGCCCAAAAUAUUAUUUGAAAUAUCAUUUCAAGUGUUAAAGCAAAAUAAAAUGGCUGAGUUUUGAAAAUAGUGGAAAAUAACAUGAAUGAGUUUAAACAUAAAAUCAAAACAGUGAGGAAACAUCAACAAAAAUCCCCGAAGGGUUCAAAUAGUUGGCAUGAAGCCCAAAUAUGGCAUUCGGCCCAAAUAAUGAUGAUAACAAAUAGAUUUCAGUCAAAUACGCGGUAAGAUCAUCAAUCGGGACGGACCAAGUCACAAUCCCCAAUAGUGAACGACCCCACGCUCGUCGUCAAGCAUGUGUCUCACUUCAAUAUAGCACUACGAUGUGCAAUCUGGAGUUUCAAACCCUCAGAACAUCAUUUACAAUCAUUACGCACCUCGAUCAGGUCCGAACCCAAGCCUACGAUGCCUUGCCCGCACGAAUCGACCUCCAAAUGCUCCAAAUCUAGCCACAAUCAGUACAUAACAAUUAAAAUAUGCUAAGGGAACAAAGCCCACUCGAAAAUAUCCAACUUACAUCAAAAAUCUCGAAAUUGCUCAAACCCGACCCCCC